Molecule: unclassified non-coding RNA, 57 nt
Filed under: Rockia sandwicensis
Lineage: Eukaryota; Viridiplantae; Streptophyta; Magnoliopsida; Caryophyllales; Nyctaginaceae
Description: Pisonia sandwicensis partial 26S ribosomal RNA
Source: RNAcentral
GCGACCCCAGGUCAGGCGGGGCUACCCGCUGAGUUUAAGCAUAUCAAUAAGCGGAGG